This is a long non-coding RNA of Cyprinus carpio (common carp), 1019 nucleotides long. RefSeq lists it as uncharacterized. NCBI's taxonomy places the organism in Eukaryota, Metazoa, Chordata, Actinopteri, Cypriniformes, Cyprinidae. The record is from RefSeq and is a predicted model, not a curated record. The transcript has 4 exons.
GUUGAUUCCCAUGAGGUUCAUCUGUUGAGAAGGUCAGUGAUCACCUGUGGUACUGUCUGGCCUUUGGUCACCAUCUCAUUCCCGACCUUCACUCUGGGGUAGCACAGAGCUUUCAGCAUGUCAGCAGAGUUGAGCCCCAGGAGAACCAGCAGCUCGAACCAAAUAUGAAUGGAUGGGUCUAAUAUGGUUCCCUCAUAAUAAGAAAUCCUGCUGUGGUGACAUCUGAUGGAAAAUCAACAUGCAUAUUCCCAUCAGACUGCACGUGAUCAUACACUUUUACAAGACAAAAGAGUGGUGCAGGUCUCUGAGUACCACAAAAGGUGAACGCAGUAUGAGGUGAAACGUUGACACGGAUUUGUCCUUCAGCAAGGGGGUUAAAUUAAGAUGCGUUCAAUUAUAGCAGCAACAGGGAGCAACAUUUCUUCCGUUUCCUUCAUGACCCUGAAUCUUCUCUUGGCAGAAGUAAGAAUCUUCAGGAAGAACACAGGGUUUACUCAAGAGACCCAAAGGCCAGCAGACCUUAUAAGCUCUGGAAAGUGUGUCAUGCUUUACAGCUGUUUGCUUGAGCCUUCUUAAGGUUAAUAAAAAUAGAUCAAGGUUGUGGCCAUUUGUCUUCUGCUGCAUCUGAAGGAGUGAUGGCGAAGAGAACACGUGAGAUCCUCAGUGUUUCUCUGAGGAGCUCUAGUGUGAUUUCCCAUCCAUCCUAGCGAGUCUUUACGGUCUCAAGCAUCCAAACACCGAACAGGACGGAGCUUCUACACUCACUUCUGAAAGUGCCUCAGAGUGGAGCAGUUUUUGAAGUCUGCCGCAAACGUGCCAAUUAUUGUGAGUACAUGCUGGUAGAACUGCCCUCUCACCACUAGAGGUCAGUGACCUUUAUUGGCAUCAUUUUUCAUUCCUAAUCCAACUCAGCAUUACGAUUCAACAAUAAUGAUUAAAUUGUGGUUCUGAAUAAACAAUACUUUAUAAAUUAUGAUUUCAGAAAACAUAAGCUGCAGAUGAAAGGUAUUUGUCAAAUG